AUUUUACGUCACGGAGGCAGAAGAUGAAUCUGCAGGAUGGAUUUUAACUUGUACUUAUAAGGAAUGCAGUGACUAGUUGACACAUCACAGAUGGCAUCAAAUAACACAGUGUCAGAGAUUAUGAAGAACAAAUGGAUGUAGUAGUGCAGAGGUUUGUAAGAUUUCUUGGAUGCAGUCUGAAGACGAUGAAGUGAUGAAAGAUCCAGGAUCCAGAUAUUCGUCCUGAGCUCAAAGAUAUCUGCACUACAUUUGCUAUACAAGUUAUGACAGAAGUUUAGACUUGACUUGUGAAAUGAUAAACAGCACAUCGAAAAAGAAGUUGGACAAAAAGUGGGAUUAAUGCAGGAACUAUUAAAGCUGCAGUGAGUGAGAACCAUUCACAGGAGAAUAACAAACUUGUCUAUAUGAUAUUUGCAACAAUAAAAAUGAUAUGUAUUUUUAUCUCUGUUUUUUUUCAUCAGAUAGCUGGAGCUGCAAAAUUACUGCAAUUUUUAAAAGACUCGGUGUUGAAAAAACAGGAUAAUCAGUUGAAGAGGGUAAUUCAGAAAGAGAAUUUGUACCAACAAUGAAUUAAAAAAUAAAAA
Molecule: long non-coding RNA, 584 nt
Organism: Magallana angulata
Lineage: Eukaryota; Metazoa; Mollusca; Bivalvia; Ostreida; Ostreidae
Exons: 5
Source: RefSeq, a predicted model, not a curated record